UUCAAAUUGAGAGUUUGAUCCUGGCUCAGGAUGAACGCUGGCGGCGUGCCUAAUACAUGCAAGUCGAACGCACAGCGAAAGGUGCUUGCACCUUUCAAGUGAGUGGCGAACGGGUGAGUAACACGUGGACAACCUGCCUCAAGGCUGGGGAUAACAUUUGGAAACAGAUGCUAAUACCGAAUAAAACUUAGUGUCGCAUGACACAAAGUUAAAAGGCGCUUCGGCGUCACCUAGAAAUGGAAAUGAUUUUAGUUUGACGGUACCAUACCAGAAAGGGACGGCUAAAUACGUGCCAGCAGCCGCGGUAAUACGUAUGUCCCGAGCGUUAUCCGGAUUUAUUGGGCGUAAAGCGAGCGCAGACGGUUUAUUAAGUCUGAUGUGAAAGCCCGGAGCUCAACUCCGGAAUGGCAUUGGAAACUGGUUAACUUGAGUGCAGUAGAGGUAAGUGGAACUCCAUGUGUAGCGGUGGAAUGCGUAGAUAUAUGGAAGAACACCAGUGGCGAAGGCGGCUUACUGGACUGCAACUGACGUUGAGGCUCGAAAGUGUGGGUAGCAAACAGGAUUAGAUACCCUGGUAGUCCACACCGUAAACGAUGAACACUAGGUGUUAGGAGGUUUCCGCCUCUUAGUGCCGAAGCUAACGCAUUAAGUGUUCCGCCUGGGGAGUACGACCGCAAGGUUGAAACUCAAAGGAAUUGACGGGGACCCGCACAAGCGGUGGAGCAUGUGGUUUAAUUCGAAGCAACGCGAAGAACCUUACCAGGUCUUGACAUCCUUUGAAGCUUUUAGAGAUAGAAGUGUUCUCUUCGGAGACAAAGUGACAGGUGGUGCAUGGUCGUCGUCAGCUCGUGUCGUGAGAUGUUGGGUUAAGUCCCGCAACGAGCGCAACCCUUAUUGUUAGUUGCCAGCAUUCAGAUGGGCACUCUAGCGAGACUGCCGGUGACAAACCGGAGGAAGGCGGGGACGACGUCAGAUCAUCAUGCCCCUUAUGACCUGGGCUACACACGUGCUACAAUGGCGUAUACAACGAGUUGCCAACCCGCGAGGGUGAGCUAAUCUCUUAAAGUACGUCUCAGUUCGGAUUGUAGUCUGCAACUCGACUACAUGAAGUCGGAAUCGCUAGUAAUCGCGGAUCAGCACGCCGCGGUGAAUACGUUCCCGGGUCUUGUACACACCGCCCGUCACACCAUGGGAGUUUGUAAUGCCCAAAGCCGGUGGCCUAACCUUUUAGGAAGGAGCCGUCUAAGGCAGGACAGAUGACUGGGGUGAAGUCGUAACAAGGUAGCCGUAGGAGAACCUGCGGCUGGAUCACCUCCUUUCUAAGGA
This 1326-nucleotide ribosomal RNA is filed under the name Leuconostoc mesenteroides subsp. mesenteroides. Its description in RNAcentral is "bacterial SSU rRNA". It matches the Rfam family "Bacterial small subunit ribosomal RNA". Lineage: Bacteria; Bacillati; Bacillota; Bacilli; Lactobacillales; Lactobacillaceae. The record is from RNAcentral.